Molecule: ribosomal RNA, 427 nt
Filed under: uncultured bacterium
Lineage: Bacteria
Description: partial 16S ribosomal RNA
Rfam family: Bacterial small subunit ribosomal RNA
Source: RNAcentral
UGGGGAAUAUUGGACAAUGGGCGAAAGCCUGAUCCAGCCAUGCAGCGUGUGUGAAGAAGGUCUUCGGAUUGUAAAGCACUUUAAGUUGGGAGGAAGGGCAUUAACCUAAUACGUUAGUGUUUUGACGUUACCGACAGAAUAAGCACCGGCUAACUCUGUGCCAGCAGCCGCGGUAAUACAGAGGGUGCAAGCGUUAAUCGGAAUUACUGGGCGUAAAGCGCGCGUAGGUGGUUUGUUAAGUUGGAUGUGAAAUCCCCGGGCUCAACCUGGGAACUGCAUUCAAAACUGACUGACUAGAGUAUGGUAGAGGGUGGUGGAAUUUCCUGUGUAGCGGUGAAAUGCGUAGAUAUAGGAAGGAACACCAGUGGCGAAGGCGACCACCUGGACUAAUACUGACACUGAGGUGCGAAAGCGUGGGGAGCAAACA